RNAcentral lists this ribosomal RNA (236 nucleotides) under uncultured bacterium. RNAcentral's name for it is "partial 16S ribosomal RNA". It matches the Rfam family "Bacterial small subunit ribosomal RNA", at positions 96 to 334 of the family's 1533-position model. The record is from RNAcentral.
UGGCGGACGGGGGAGUAAUGUCUGGGAAACGUGCCUGAUGGAGGGGGAUAACUACUGGAAACGGUAGCUAAUACCGCAUAACGUCGCAAGACCAAAGAGGGGGACCUUAGGGCCUCUUGCCAUCGGAUGUGCCCAGAUGGGAUUAGCUAGUAGGUGGGGUAAAGGCUCACCUAGGCGACGAUCCCUAGCUGGUCUGAGAGGAUGACCAGCCACACUGGAACUGAGACACGGUCCAG